Molecule: ribosomal RNA, 661 nt
Filed under: uncultured organism
Description: bacterial SSU rRNA
Rfam family: Bacterial small subunit ribosomal RNA
Source: RNAcentral
GGCUAGAGUUUGAUCAUGGCUCAGGAUGAACGCUGGCGGCGUGCCUAACACAUGCAAGUCGAGCGAAGCACUUUGCUUUGAAUCUUUCGGGAGGACGAGUGAUUUGACUGAGCGGCGGACGGGUGAGUAACGCGUGGGCAACCUGCCUCACACAGGGGGAUAACAGUUAGAAAUGACUGCUAAUACCGCAUAAGGCCACAGCACCGCAUGGUGCAGGGGUAAAAACUCCGGUGGUGUGAGAUGGGCCCGCGUCUGAUUAGGUAGUUGGUGAGGUAACGGCUCACCAAGCCGACGAUCAGUAGCCGACCUGAGAGGGUGACCGGCCACAUUGGGACUGAGACACGGCCCAAACUCCUACGGGAGGCAGCAGUGGGGAAUAUUGCACAAUGGGGGAAACCCUGAUGCAGCGACGCCGCGUGAGCGAUGAAGUAUUUCGGUAUGUAAAGCUCUAUCAGCAGGGAAGAAACUGACGGUACCUGACUAAGAAGCACCGGCUAAAUACGUGCCAGCAGCCGCGGUAAUACGUAUGGUGCAAGCGUUAUCCGGAUUUACUGGGUGUAAAGGGAGCGUAGACGGACUUGCAAGUCUGAAGUGAAAGCCCGGGGCUCAACCCCGGGACUGCUUUGGAAACUGUAGGUCUAGAGUGCUGGAGAGGUAAGUG